CUACGGCCAUAUCAUGUUGAAACACCGGUUCUCGUACGAUUAACGAAGUUAAGCAACAUCGAAAGCCUGGUCAAUACCGAGAUGGGUGACUGCAUAGGAAUACCAGGUG
This is a non-coding RNA of Acanthosepion pharaonis, 109 nucleotides long. The record is from the annotation of a GenBank genome assembly. NCBI's taxonomy places the organism in Eukaryota, Metazoa, Mollusca, Cephalopoda, Sepiida, Sepiidae.